Non-coding RNA from Medicago truncatula (barrel medic), 107 nucleotides. NCBI's taxonomy places the organism in Eukaryota, Viridiplantae, Streptophyta, Magnoliopsida, Fabales, Fabaceae. The record is from Rfam.
AAUUAGUCUCCAAUAAUAAUACAUAAUUGGAACGAUACAGAGAAGAUUAGCAUGGCCCUUGCGCAAAGAUGACACGCACAAAUCGAGAAAUGGUCCAAAAAAAAUUU